GCUAGGCUUCUCAAUCAAGGAAAAUGGUUAUUUGCCAAGAAUGGGGAUGUCUCCAGCACCAUCUGUUGGUUGGAAUGGGACUCCUGGAGUUUCUAUGAGCCAUGUUAUUAAGAAAGUUGUCAGACUCGAUGUUCCUGUUGACAAGUUCCCUAAUUAUAACUUUGUUGGCCGUCUUUUGGGACCAAGAGGAAACUCCUUGAAAAGAGUGGAAGCUACGACUCGCUGCAGAGUUUAUAUACGAGGUCGGGGUUCA
Molecule: long non-coding RNA, 253 nt
Organism: Asparagus officinalis (garden asparagus)
Lineage: Eukaryota; Viridiplantae; Streptophyta; Magnoliopsida; Asparagales; Asparagaceae
Exons: 3
Source: RefSeq, a predicted model, not a curated record